GUGUCGGGCCAGACUCAGCCCCAGAAACCAGCCACCCUGCCGCGUCCGACUGCCAGGGAUCCCUCACGCCGCGAGGAAGAGACACUAGAGAGACACUCAGCUGCAGUGAGAAUACACAGGCAUCUUCAAGUACCAGAGAUGUCUCCAAGAGCACCAGCAACCCCAGCUAUCUGGAUCUGAAGUGGAUAUGCUCAGAGACAUCCUGGCCCACCCCAAAGAAGAUGCUGCUGCACUCAGAAGACGCCAGAGCUAGCCACCACCCACACUGCAAGUCUGGAAGCUCUGCAAGGACCCAGCAAGGCAGCCUGCUCAGCGAAGGCUUUGUCUCCUGUGGCAGGAAGAGCAACAUUAAGAACAAGAACCCCGGGCUGGACUACCCCUGAGAUUUAAUGACCAGAGCUGAGACCCCCAAGACCACAAUGACUAUGGAGGGCUGUCAUUACCCUGCCUGACCCUCUAAUGCCUCUCAGUUCAAGGAGGCCACUGAGUGAAACUGAAGGCUGGUUUUCCUUGGAAGCCAGCGGCCCAUCCACCUGCUCCACUUCCCUGCCUCUUGCAGCCUCCGCUCAAACACUGUCGUGGCUUGGCAGCACUACAAGUAUUUCAGGGGCUGCCAAGCUGCUCUCCUGUUUCCUCUUCCUUGGGGCUGAUUGCAUCCCAUGAUGUGCCCAGGUUUUGAGAUGCUCCUCGUGAAUGAAAAUAGGACUGUCUGGUUCCUCCAUCCAUAGCAAGGGAGCCUAGACAGAAAUAACUUCUGUGCAUUUCUCCAGCUACAUUUAGCUGAAAAUAUGUCUACGUGAGGUUAACUGUAUUUACCCAAUGCCAGAUACCUGAAAGAGUGUGAAAAAUUAAGGGAAAACUAGAAAAUACAGAAAUAUAUCAAGAAGAAAAAAAAUUUAAAAAUGACCCAAAAUCCCACCAACCAGAGACAGCUAUUAAUGAUUGUGGUAUAUUUAUUGUAAGUCUCUUUAUUUCUGUCUUCAUGCAAACACAUUUUUAAAGAAUGGACACUGGUAUUAUAUUGUUUAUACAACUCUAAAUGCUGCUUUUUCACUUAUUACAAUUAGGACUUUUUUCAUGUUAAUAAAU
Molecule: long non-coding RNA, 1089 nt
Filed under: Homo sapiens (human)
Lineage: Eukaryota; Metazoa; Chordata; Mammalia; Primates; Hominidae
Description: HSALNT0339821
Source: RNAcentral